AUCUUCAAUUAGGUCAAAAUUUAAACACAAUUGACUAAAUCUCUAUCAAUAGGCUAUUUAUCAAAUAGCUUAAACUUAAUCCUAAUCGGACUAUAUCUUAAAUAAUUCCACCAGCUCGAAACACUAACCCAACAGCCUCUCAAGACCAACCCAAGCCCAAUUUCCUUUUGACUUUGCCAAAUUAGCCCCAAGUUCCCAUCAACACCACCCCAAGACCAAUAUUUCUCAACACCAGCCCAACAACAAGGAAAUUUCAGCCCACAACCAAUCCAAUAAACAAUUUCAACCCUAACUGGCCAGACCCCUAUCCUCUUAAGCAGCUUCUACAACACCAAUAUCAACCUCAGUCAAAAGCGCGUACAACUCAAACCCCAACAAUGACAACUCCUCAUCAGCUGACAACCACCACCAACCUCAUCGACGUACAACAUCACCAACAGCACGUACAGCUUUGAAAAACACAAAAAAUCAACCCGAUUCCCCUCGUUCUAUGUCCAAAUUUGUCAACCCACAACCAACCCAUCCUUUUUCUCUUCCACGCGUAUUUCACGCACCAGUGAGACGAGCAAAAGAUGUUCGAAUCUUCUAGAAACAGGGUUAGGUGUCGUCUCCAACGGUUAUCUCCGCGAAUCUCGAGACAAGGAAUCACGGUGAGGUAUUUUGAAAUUCCGUUGAAGCCUCGAGUCCUAUUUUACUGCUCCCGAAUAGGUACCAUCCCAUUCCUUUAAGCGUUCCAUUGCUUCUGCUUCAUCUCACUAUUCUGUAGUAGUAAGUAAUUUGAGAUCAUCCUGUAUGCUGGAUUUUGUUGUUGUAGAAGUCGUUAAUGGCCUUAGGACUUGUUUGUGAUCGUUGUGAUUAUGCUAUUUUGUUGAGUCAGUGUUACGUUUUAGUCUUUAAUUUGGCUGCCUGGAAUAAGCUCCCUGUUUCGUGUUGAUUGUGUUGAUUAGCCAUCCUUUUACGAAGCAGUGUAUAUACAUAUCGUUGAAUGCCUUGAAUAAGCUCCCUGUUUCGUGUUGAUUGUGUUGAUUAGCCAUCAUUUUUAUAUCAUGAAGCAGCGCACAUACAUAUCGCCGAUUACCUUCCAAUUUACUAUUUUUGUAUCGCAUAUUGUUUACAAAUUUUGUUCAUUAAUUUCCAUUGAGAUUCCCGUUUUAAUUUUCACUUAACUGGCUGGCUGAAUGUCAUUUUGUUUGAGUCAUUUUCUGUUUAGCUAGUAACAUCGCUAAUAGGAACCCUUUGCGAGUUCCUUUGAAUUUCCAAAUGUCAAAGAGAAUAACCAAAAUGAGUCCAAUAAUGAAGGUUGCCAAAAAAUCCUAGGAUCCCACAAUGACCGUUUCAUUUGAAUCUGUUGGAAUGAGGAAGAGGAUUAGAAUCAUGUAUGUCAUCUCGUUUGUUGUUGCAGUUUCGAUAUAGCCUUAAAUCGUUAUUUUUUGUUUAGCCAGUAACAUCACCAGCAGCAGGACUACUCUGAAAGUCCCUUUGGCCUCUCAAAUGCCAAAGAGAAUAAUGAGAUAUGUCCAAAUAUAAAUCAGAAAAUCCUAGGAUCCCUUGACGAUUAUAUCGACUAAUAAAAAUUUACUAAACUCACUUUUGAGUUUGUCAGAAUGAAGAAGAGGAUUAGAAUGAUGUACCCUUCCACUUUCCUUAUAGUUUGUUGGCUGUUCCCUUCCGUAUCCAAGAUUGGAAAUUUCAGUUUCUUUAUUCUUUAUACUUGAGUUUAGUAUGUGUUCUAACUAGAAAGUAAAUUCGAUAUAGUUUUUUUGUUGAAUUACUGAUACUUGAGUGGGUUUUUUUUUUUUUUUAGAGAAACAUCUCACUUUUAUUGCCAUUACAUUAUACGUGUAAUUUGUGCUUGAACUAAGGAUUCCCUGAGAUUUUUCUUGGACAGAAGCAUCAAGAAAGCAAAGAUGAAGUCAUGAUCUCUUGCUUCUGAAAGUGAGGUUGAGAGGUGGAGUAGAACAUUACAAUGGUCUACUUCCAUCUUCAAAAGCUUACGGCCAAGGUUCUUCUUUUUUUUAUUUUGUUUCUUUCCUCUUUUGGAACAUUUAGGAUUCUCAAUACUUUCCCGCCCUCGCUUGUCUUGUUCGUUUGUCAAACAAUAUUUGCCUUAAGUAAUCUAUGGCUUUACCUAUUCGAAAGGGAUCACUGGAGUAUUAUUUAUUGGUCUUGAUUGAUAAUUGUCACUUUAUGUAUCUCUUCCGUUCAAAUUGUUGUGUGUUUCUCCUUGGGUUAGAGUGCCUGAUUGAACAAUUGACCACUUCAUUUUCUGUUGUUAUCUCUUACCAGUGAGUGUAUAAACCCUCGAAAGCGAAAUACAAAAAUCCGUUUAUAGCAAUCUUCAUACCUUUUACAAACUUACACCUGACUUAUGUUUUGUGGUGUUAGUAAAUAAUUUAUAUAAGACAUGAUGUUUCCAGGGGAUAUGCAAAGGGAAAAGAUGCAUUUUGGUAUCUUUGCACACCAAUAUGAAAUGAAACAUGAAUCUAAGGAAUUAUACUUAUUUUCUGACCUUUUUUAUUGCUUUGCUAUUGCUAGUUUCCCGUAUUAACAUUUUGCCCUUAUAAGCAUGUCUCAUUGAUCCUUAAUCAUCUUUUAAUUAUUAAAGAUCCGUGUUAUGUUGAUUUCUUUAAUUUGAUUAUGUAUCAACUCCCUUUACUUCUUUCUCCGUUUUUGGUUGGUCAUGUGUCAACUGACUUUAGUAAACUUCUCUCUAGGUUGGUUAAUGUGUUAAUUCACUUUUCUUUUCUUUUUUUUAUUCCUCUCAUUGGUAGUAUAUUAAUAUCCUUUAUUUUUCUUAUUUUGCAUAAAAAAUUUGUUGGAAUCCAAACGAAUUUUUCAUGUCCCAUUUUGUAAUGGGCCAAUGAGGCCCAUCUUUCUAGUCAACCCCGAGACCAAGUCCAAAAGCCGAUCAUGAGGCGUAUGGAUGCUAGAAGAUAGAAGAAGAAAAGGAGGGUUAAAGACCCACGUUUGAAGCGGCUAAGAGAUGCAAAAAUCUCAUUUAUUAUUUCAUUCCGUUUAAUUAUUGUUGUCUUUAUUUAUUUUAUUGGUUUAUUUAUUUUAUUCAUUCAUUCGUUCGGGCCAUGAAGCCAAGGUUGUAUUUAACAUAGGUGGAGGCAAGAUUUGAGCCAAACGCUCGAAAACUAGAUUAGGACAGGUGAAAUGGAUCGAAGGCCCAAUUAGUCUAGGACAGGUUUUGUUGGUUUGGGCCAAUGGACUAAAUCCCUUACUUUCUCCCCUUCCCCCUAUUCUUUAUAUUUGUUUUCCUUUAUGUGCUUUGCAAACGUAGUUAAAUCCUUAGGUAAGUCUCUAAAAAACUAGUUUUGCAUAAACACCAAAAUACUUUCAAAAUUUCUUUCUUUCCAAAAAAAUCAAUCACUUUUUUGAGAAAAUUAAUCUUUUCGAAGUUAACUAAAAGGCGAUUUUUAAACAGUCCGAAUAACUGCAAGUUAGCAGACGUUUUAGGUGCCUAACACCUUCCUAAAACGUUAAUAGGAACCGCUUAUUUAGAAUCUCUAACUUAAAACGAUUUUUCUAUUUUAAACCAUUUUAAGUAACUCUCUAAAGGUUUCUUAAUUCCUUUUCAAAAUUAUCUCUUAACUAGGUUUAAAUCAAAUGUUUGAUUUUGUCUUUUGAUUAACUGUUUAUGUGUUUAUAUGUUUCGAUUUUGUAAAGUUUAAUUAUCGCAUCUCAUGACAUAUUCUUACAUUAUUUAAACUGUUUUGGAGUUUCGUGGAUGUCCCGGCCCCUAUUGUUCAAUUCCAAUAAUGCGUUAGAAAUACGAACAGCUUAUUAGCAUGUGAGUCGUCUGAUGGCUGUUCGUAUUUUCAAACUCAAGUUGUCCACUUCAGAACCAGUGUUCAAUCCCACUCUAGACACCUAGGAUAGAAUGAAACCAAAACCCUAUUUAGGCAUGAGCCUAGGACGACCCAAUACCCGAGCGGGGUAUUGGGUCCAUUAGAAAACCUUUCCUGCGUAUAUUGACCCCGAGUCAAUUAUAGAUGAACCAUAUUUAUGUGUUGAAGAAAACAAUGCCUGUCUAAUUCAAUCCACUAUCCUUUGGGGGUCGGGAAAAAGCUUGAUUUGCUUACUUUCGUAAGAAGAAUUGAAGCAAAAAAUUAAUCGAUUCGGGAGGUUGCAUCUAAGGGACAGUUUGAAUGUCAACGGAUGUUACCAAUAUAAGACCAGUUACUGGAUUUUCUUUCCCCAUAUCUUCAGCACCUUUCCUAGCCCUUUAGUUUACUGUAUUUUGAAUUAUACACGUUAUUCUUUUUUACAAUAUUAUAAACUAGUUCCAUCACUAUAACGUCCCUUUCAUGCAUUGAAUCUAUAAGAGUGCUAAUUUGCUAGGAAUUUUAGGAACCAAUCAUUCUUGUAGUCCUUCGGAAAAAGAACCAUUUUCUUCCUAAAGGAAUAUAUAAAAUAACCGCCUCAAAACGUAAAAUUUGCAUAACAGACAUAGUAUAUACCCUAAUAUGAGAUCAACAGUACUUAUCGAUGUUGUUGUCUAUUUCUCUAAUGAUCUUUUUCCACCUAAACUGAACUUCCAUCUACAGGACUUUGUCAAGAAACGGUUUAAAUACUUUGUCCCAACAGUCAUGAGGUGGCAGUGAUGUAACCGAGGGAGUGGCCUAGUGGUCAAAUAAGUGAGAUAAAAAUAAUUUUUAGGUUCAAAUCUCAGCGGAGACAAACUACUAGGUGAUUCCUUUCCAUUUAUCCAGGUCUUGGUGGACAAAGUUACCUAAUGCAUGUGUCCUUGGGAAGUAACAAAUACUUACGGAAUUAGUCGAGGUACAAACAAAUUAUUCUGAUACACGGUUUUAUUAAAAACAAAAAGAUCAAUAGACUCUGGAAUCAUCAUGUAUGUGACACAUUCAAUUAGUUGUUUAGUACUACGUACCAUAAAUAUCUUUGCCAAAAAUAAAAACAUUUUCGAAGUGUGGUUAUAUUAAAAUCUUGAAGUUGUCUGGUCAAAAGAAGUAUUUUUACCAAAA
Capsicum annuum is the source of this 4991-nucleotide long non-coding RNA. RefSeq lists it as uncharacterized. The record is from RefSeq and is a predicted model, not a curated record. The transcript has 2 exons. NCBI's taxonomy places the organism in Eukaryota, Viridiplantae, Streptophyta, Magnoliopsida, Solanales, Solanaceae.